Molecule: ribosomal RNA, 386 nt
Filed under: Imbricatea sp.
Lineage: Eukaryota; Cercozoa; Imbricatea
Description: partial small subunit ribosomal RNA
Rfam family: Eukaryotic small subunit ribosomal RNA
Source: RNAcentral
AUUCCAGCUCCAGUAGCGUAUACUAAUGUUGCUGCAGUUAAAAAGCUCGUAGUUGGAUUUCUGAUUGAUAUUUUUGGUCCGGUACCUUCGGGUACAUGAGUAUCAUUUUAUGUCUGUCAUCCUAUCAGGGUUUCUUGGUUUCGGCCUAGGAGUUCUGGUUCAUUUACUUUGAAAAAAUUAGAGUGUUUAAAGCAAGCUUGCGCGAUGAAUACAUUAGCAUGGAAUAAUAAUAUAGGACUACGGGUUCUAUUUUGUUGGUUUCUAGACCUGAAGUGAUGAUUGAUAGGGAUAGUUGGGGGUGCUAGUAUUGGGAGGCCAGAGGUGAAAUUCUUUGAUUCUCUCAAGACUAACUUAUGCGAAAGCAUUCACCAAGGAUGUCUUCAUUG